CUACUGAUUUCGCCAACCCGGCUGCCUUGUGCAUAGCAGUCUGUCGUUAUUGGCAGGCGACGCUUGAUUGAGGCUGGGAGAAGCCCCCCCUCGCGGGACUUAACCAGCAGCCGUUAUGUCCAACAUUUCGGCCCACAGAUCAUCUUCAGGCGGUCUCCCUUGUCCGAGGGAUUAAGAUAUGACCGGUCCCACCUCGCAAUGGGUGGAAGCCAUGUUCCGUAGGUGAACAGGUUUGCCUACUGCAUUGGUCACAAUGCGCGGUCUGCACCAGAAGAGUGCAGGCAACAUCGUUUAAAUGUUGAGCGUCCUUGGCGUUUGCCUCGAACAAUCGGCAGCCAGAGCCGUGUUGCCUGGCCCACAGAUCACCCGACGAUGGCCCAAGUGGUUAAGAUAUGAUCGGUCCCUGCCUGAAAAGGCGCCGGAGGCGCGGAACCUGCGGAAGGAUCAUUA
Molecule: ribosomal RNA, 450 nt
Filed under: Physciella melanchra
Lineage: Eukaryota; Fungi; Ascomycota; Lecanoromycetes; Caliciales; Physciaceae
Description: partial 18S ribosomal RNA
Source: RNAcentral